This 429-nucleotide ribosomal RNA is filed under the name Chloroflexota bacterium. Its description in RNAcentral is "Chloroflexi bacterium partial 16S ribosomal RNA". It matches the Rfam family "Bacterial small subunit ribosomal RNA", at positions 355 to 776 of the family's 1533-position model. RNAcentral also lists the same sequence under 1 other name. The record is from RNAcentral. Lineage: Bacteria; Bacillati; Chloroflexota.
UAGGGAAUCUUCGGCAAUGGACGAAAGUCUGACCGAGCAACGCCGCGUGAGUGAAGAAGGUUUUCGGAUCGUAAAACUCUGUUGUUAGAGAAGAACAAGGACGUUAGUAACUGAACGUCCCCUGACGGUAUCUAACCAGAAAGCCACGGCUAACUACGUGCCAGCAGCCGCGGUAAUACGUCGGUGGCAAGCGUUGUCCGGAUUUAUUGGGCGUAAAGCGAGCGCAGGCGGUUUCUUAAGUCUGAUGUGAAAGCCCCCGGCUCAACCGGGGAGGGUCAUUGGAAACUGGGAGACUUGAGUGCAGAAGAGGAGAGUGGAAUUCCAUGUGUAGCGGUGAAAUGCGUAGAUAUAUGGAGGAACACCAGUGGCGAAGGCGGCUCUCUGGUCUGUAACUGACGCUGAGGCUCGAAAGCGUGGGGAGCAAACAGG